GCCCUGAUGGUGGAACCGGUCAGACACAGGGACCUUAAAAGUCCCCGGCCACGCGGCCGUGCGGGUUCGACUCCCGCUCAGGGCA
This 85-nucleotide transfer RNA is filed under the name Streptomyces sp. SID8367. Its description in RNAcentral is "tRNA-Leu". It matches the Rfam family "tRNA". From Rfam's summary of the family: Transfer RNA (tRNA) molecules are approximately 80 nucleotides in length. The record is from RNAcentral. RNAcentral also lists the same sequence under 1 other name. Lineage: Bacteria; Bacillati; Actinomycetota; Actinomycetes; Kitasatosporales; Streptomycetaceae.